Molecule: RNA transcript, 1877 nt
Organism: Planococcus citri (citrus mealybug)
Lineage: Eukaryota; Metazoa; Arthropoda; Insecta; Hemiptera; Pseudococcidae
Exons: 8
Source: RefSeq, a predicted model, not a curated record
GGAAGAAUAUGAAAGCAAUAACGAAAGUCAAGAAAACGAGGAAAACAAAAGUUACGAGUCGCUGUACAUGAGUGAUGAUGGAGUCGAGCAUUUGGAGAGCACCUAAUCGUGAUCGAAGCUAAGAUGAAUAUUUUUGGUACCAUGUUUCUGGCGACAUGUUGGUUAGAGAUACAAUGUCAACUUAAAAAACUUGAGGCGAUGUGUGAUGUUGAACAAACGAAGCAUCAUCAUACUCUUGUGGCGAACUGUUCAAAUUUUGGCGGUGGACCUAUAGUUCCGCGAAAUUUAAGCUCUGAAAUAGAAGCGAUGAUAAUGUCGGUUCUGUUUUUAAACGCGUCAGAAAUCUCGAACGAUUUAUUCAAACACUACGUAAAAUUGAAGAGACUCGAAUUACUCCAUAUCUCAGAAGAAUCCGAACCUUCGCAGACGAUGGUGUUUCACGAGGAUGCAUUUUCGAAACUCGAGAAGUUAGAGAAGCUAACCAUCCAUCACACCAGAUUCGACAAAAAUCCGGAUUAUAUAUGGCCUCCAACUUUGAAAAGAUUGGAAUUGACAGACGUGGAAUUAAAGCAACUCGUCAAUACCAAAUCAUUGACCAACUUGGAGUAUCUAGAUUUAUCAAAAAAUCAACUGGAGCAAUUUCCAAAGCUGAAUGAAAAAGCUUAUAAGCUAGAUACUAUUAUCUUGAAGGAUAAUCCUAUUGCUAUGAUCACAGUGGAACAAGUGGCGCCCUAUUGUUUACUAACCACUUUGGAUCUUGCAUUAACGAAAGAUGCUAAUUUUACCAAAACCGGUGUAGAUUUUUGCCCCUGUUUGAGACUUCUCAAUUGGAUGAAGAAGAAGGUGCCCACGGGUGAUGGCAUCAAACUGGAUUGCGGAUCGAUUGGUAGCGGUGCAAAUGCCAUACAACUUGGGAACAGUCAAUGCCCGAACUCGUCCACUUUCACCGAGAAGGAAUUGAAAUUAUACUCGGAUUGUACAAGUACAUCCGGUAACCCGGCCGAUUCGCCGUUAUGGGAGCUGUUACUUUACGCGGUGCUUUUCUCGGUGCUUUUUCCUAUUGGGUAUUUUGCCAACGAAGCUUAUAAUCGUUACUCUGCGCGGUCGGAGGAAGCUUCUCGUGUUUCACACGAUACUGGUAAACGACUCCAUCGUCGAAUAGGAACUCACUGCAAGGAAAGUUACGAAUGUGAAACCGAUUGCGAAGAGGACUGCGUGGAAACUGAACAAGAUGAAACUUGAAACGCAGAAGUGAUGCUGCCUUGAGAUGAUGAACAUCAGCUGUGCUCGCUUGCCGAAGCUUUGAAAAAUAUAACUUUUCCUGCCGAAGCUGAAAAAGCCUAUAAUGAGUACAUGGCUCUAUUACCUUCGACGUCGAUCUUUGAGCUUCUUCUGUACGAUGUUUUUUUCGCCGUCUUGUUUCCAUUGUUGUAUUUCGGCAACGAAGCUUGGAAUAAGUAUAAAUCGAAGAAAAUGGCACCUCCGCCUACACCGGUGAAACGAAGACGCAAAAAACGCAGAAUUAUUACAACUGCGUCUACAACUACCACCACCGUACCUUCAACAGUUGAUAUCGAAGCUGGCCAAUCGGAUCAAGUCGAUGAUACGGAGCGGGAAGGAAGCCAGGAGUAAAUGAUCCGUUUUAAGAGCAUUUUUGAAACAACUAGUGGAAUUGAGUAGCGCUUAAUGGAUGCUAGAAAUGGUGCUGAUUCGUCAUUUUAAUUCAGCUUACAUUGAGAGUUGUUAUCGUGGACAGUGACUCCCAGAGGGGCUGCAGUAUAUUUGAAUUGUUCGGUUAUAGAGAGAAAAGCAGUUUGCACGAAUCACGAUGGUAGUAAUGCAGAUGUCUUCUAUGACGGGUUUCCAGAUGAUAUGAA